This 587-nucleotide small RNA is filed under the name Pongo abelii (Sumatran orangutan). RNAcentral describes it as "processed transcript". The record is from RNAcentral. Lineage: Eukaryota; Metazoa; Chordata; Mammalia; Primates; Hominidae.
GAGCCGGUGGGCGGUAGGCGGUGCUAGGGGUAGCUGGGUGCUGUCCAAAGGCGACAGGGCGUCGUUAGGGGAGCGAGUCGUGACCGGUUGGGCCACACUCAACGUGGGACGAAGCUUCGCCUACUGUUUGACUACGUGCGUGCCGCCUCCCCUCGAUGUCGGCCCUCGAAAAGAGCAUGCACCUCGGCCGCCUUCCCUCUCGCCCACCUCUACCCGGCAGCGGGGGCAGUCAGAGCGGAGCCAAGAUGCGAAUGGGCCCUGGAAGAAAGCGGGACUUUUCCCCUGUUCCUUGGAGUCAGUAUUUUGAGUCCAUGGAAGAUGUAGAAGUAGAGAAUGAAACUGGCAAGGAUACUUUUCGAGUCUACAAGAGUGGUUCAGAGGGUCCAGUCCUGCUCCUUCUGCAUGGAGGAGGUCAUUCUGCCCUUUCUUGGGCUGUGUUCACGGAUAAAUUGUGUGACUUGUCCAUAAGUACCAGGCUCUGUCAUGUCUCUGGACCAGUACUGUCCAAUAGAAAUAGAGUGCAAACCACAUAUGUCAUUUUAAAUUUCUUAGUAGACACUUUAAAUAGAUAAAAAGAAACAAAUUAA